RNAcentral lists this ribosomal RNA (292 nucleotides) under uncultured bacterium. RNAcentral's name for it is "partial 16S ribosomal RNA". It matches the Rfam family "Bacterial small subunit ribosomal RNA", at positions 505 to 796 of the family's 1533-position model. The record is from RNAcentral.
GUGUCAGCCGCCGCGGUAAUACGGAGGGUGCAAACGUUGCUCGGAAUUAUUGGGCGUAAAGCGCGUGUAGGCGGCAUGUUAAGUCGCGUGUGAAAGCCCUGGGCUCAACCCAGGAAUUGCGCGCGAAACUGGCGAGCUAGAGUACGGGAGAGGGUAGCGGAAUUCCCGGUGUAGAGGUGAAAUUCGUAGAUAUCGGGAGGAACACCAGUGGCGAAGGCGGCUACCUGGACCGAUACUGACGCUGAGACGCGAAAGCGUGGGGAGCAAACAGGAUUAGAAACCCUCGUAGUCC